AUUAGACUACCCUGUAGUCCAGGGUGUAAACGCUGCAGACUUGGUGUUGGAAGCCCGUUUGGGGGCAUUCAGUGCCGGAGAGAAGUUGUUAAGUCUGCUACGUUGGGAGUACGUCCGCAAGGAUAGAAACUUAAAGGAAUUGGCGGGGAGCACCACAACGGGUGGAGCCUGCGGUUUAAUUGGACUCAACGCCGGAAAUCUCACCGGAUAGGACAGACAUAUGAUAGUCGGGCUGAAGACUCUACUUGAUGAUCUG
This 256-nucleotide ribosomal RNA is filed under the name uncultured archaeon. RNAcentral describes it as "partial 16S ribosomal RNA". It matches the Rfam family "Archaeal small subunit ribosomal RNA", at positions 728 to 982 of the family's 1478-position model. The record is from RNAcentral.